This 348-nucleotide ribosomal RNA is filed under the name uncultured bacterium. RNAcentral's name for it is "bacterial SSU rRNA". It matches the Rfam family "Bacterial small subunit ribosomal RNA", at positions 8 to 350 of the family's 1533-position model. The record is from RNAcentral.
AGAGUUUGAUCAUGGCUCAGGACGAACGCUGGCGGCGCGCCUAACACAUGCAAGUCGAACGAGCGAGAGAGAGCUUGCUUUCUCGAGCGAGUGGCGAACGGGUGAGUAACGCGUGAGGAACCUGCCUCAAAGAGGGGGACAACAGUUGGAAACGACUGCUAAUACCGCAUAAGCCCACGACCCGGCAUCGGGAAGAGGGAAAAGGAGCAAUCCGCUUUGAGAUGGCCUCGCGUCCGAUUAGCUAGUUGGUGAGGUAACGGCCACCAAGGCGACGAUCAGUAGCCGGACUGAGAGGUUGAACGGCCACAUUGGGACUGAGACACGGCCCAGACCUCCGUACGGGAGGCA